Non-coding RNA from Malus domestica (apple), 2724 nucleotides. Lineage: Eukaryota; Viridiplantae; Streptophyta; Magnoliopsida; Rosales; Rosaceae. The record is from RefSeq and is a predicted model, not a curated record.
UAAAAAUUUGGUCUCUCUUCCCCCUCUCUCGCUCCAUCUCUCACAUCUCGCGUAGCAGCCUGAGCCCUGAGCCUUGAGCCUUGAGCCUCAUCUCUCUCUCGGUCUUCAAUCACUCUCUCAAACUCUCUGUCUCUCAUUCCCAACACCAUCUCUCGAUUUCUCUCUAUUUCUGCCUUCAUCCAAAAAAAAAAUUCACACGCCUCCACCUCGGCCAAGCUCGCGCCGCCGUCAAUUUCGAUGUCCUCUUCAGGGUACACGGUGGACUGGCAAGUGCUGGUACGUCUACAACCUCCUCAAGUACAAGUUCGAUCUCCAGUUCAAUAUCCCCAUCACCUACCCCGCCACCGCACCGGAACUCGAGCUCCCUCAGCUAGACAGCAAGACCCAAAAGAUGUAUAGAGGGGGGAUCUGCUUGACAGUGCAUUUCAAGCCGUUUUGACCCAAGAACUGGUGAUUUUUCUAUCUUGCUGUCUUUAAUUUGUUGUAUGUGUUGAAUUAUUGUGAAUUUUUUAUCUGUUUGGACACUGAGAAAUUAUAAGAAAUGAAAGGAAAGUUGUUUUUUUUUUUUUUUUUUUAAUUUUUUGUUGGGAAAUUUGUAAUAUUUGGGCUUACUUGAGAUUUCGAAAUCAGCUGUGAACUCGGCUCUUAAUUUGCUUUAGAAGAUAUGACAUAACAGAACAAUAAAAACUCAAAUGUUGUUGCAACUGACAAAGAAAACUCGAAAUUUGUUUGGCUUUAUGAUUAUUUGCUUCGAGUAGAAAAUUAGGAUGCAUGGUUUGUAUAUUUCAAUAUGUUAGUCUUCUGUUUUUGAAACCAAUUUAUGUAUUUAGAUUAAGUAUCUUUGCCUCUGUGAAAGGAAUUUCUUUUCGCAUAACAUGACUUACCUUGCAUUUUCUUUGUGGAAGAAUUAUGUUUGUAUUCUCUUCUGUGGAUGGAAAAUAAUUUGUGUAAAAUUUGCGCAACACAUUUUCUUUUUCCUUAAAUUUGAAUUGUAGUGAGAAACAUCCGUCUGUGGAACUUUUGCUUUUCAUGGCAUUCACAUGGUAAUUGAUGACCAUGAAAGUGUUAGUCUUCCUUUAAUCUCCAACAAAGAACGUACUCUAAUCUCUUCUGGAAAGCAUUAAUGCAAACAAACAACGUGCUGAUUUGUUUAAUUAAACAUGUUUGGAGUUAUCGGCUAGUAGUACUUAUGAUCUUUCUCAUGUUAAUUAUGCAGUCCAAGAUUUGGUAUGGCACAUGCACUUUGUUUGGGUCUUGCACCAUGGCUUGCUGCAUUCAUGCUUAUAAGAUAGCACAUGGUUUUUCUUUUUUAUAUGAAGUUUAUGAAAAGAGGAUUGUGGCUGAAGCUGGAUGCUUCACAAUAUCGUAAGAAAUAAUGUUUUAGCAUAAAUUUUCUACGGUUUUGCAUCUCAGUUAUUAAUAUUAGAACAGAAAAAAGAAAUUGGGCUUCCAAUUGCUGGUUUUAACUAGUUAAAGGUCAAGAAUCAUGUAGUUUUGUUGCCUAAUGACCAAUUUUAGAUAUCUUCAAAUUUGCACUGUCUCCAACGACCCUUCUCAGUUAAUAUUUGACAUACAUAUGCACAUAUACACCAUACAGAGGGACAUAGUCCGACUCUCAGAAACUUUGUUCGAGUAUUAAGCUCUAGUGAGAAGGCACAGGAUACAGUUUCCAUAGCAUAAUCAAAAUUUCGAGGUUUUGAUUUAGAGGCAAUAUAUGCAUCAACGUUAAGGCUUAUGUGAUCAGUUAAUAUCAUUGAAUGUUAAGGCUUAUGUGAUUAGUUAAUAUCUUUGAAUGUUGAGGCUUAUGUGAUCAAUUAAUUUCUUUGAAUUUCAUCAUAUCUUGAUUAUUCUAAGCCUUCUUCAGUUGAAUACUUGAAUAAGAUAUGUGGAUUAAACUUUGAAGGUUGACAUUUUCCAGAGGGACUUCAUCCUUGAUCCUUAUUAACUGAGAAAGGAUAAGGUGAAGGGUGCUAACCUCAAGUGGCUUUACCCACAUUUGUCUGUCAUACCAGCCACUCUCUUCGUAAGGUAUAAUGGCUGAUAGUAGCUUAUCACCAGCAUAACUCCAUCCCUGCAGUACGGUAAUUAUAUGAUUUACUUGCUUUAAAGAUUCUACAAUGAGAGACGUUCUACUAACAAAUAUUAAGCAUGAAAAUUGCUUGAAUGUGCUUGUUUUUCUUUCUUAUUGCUUACAAUACUAUUGUUUAAUGUCUCAAUAUGAAAUUUCAAGUUUUGCAUUUGUUUUCGUGCAGUCCAUACAUACUGGGGAACCUGUAGUAAUAUAUGUUCUCUAGUAUUCGGGGCUGGUAGAAUUGAAUCCAUGGCUGUUUAGCAAGUUCAUAAUCUAUUAUGUGUUUAUCUUUUCUCAAAGGACCCCCCUUAAUAUAAUUUUUCAAGAGUUCUACCUAUACAAGUACAAAUUUUUUUUCUUGAUCCAUAUGCUUAUGUCCGUGCAAAUAGAGAGAGGCAAAAAUUGCUGAGGCUCAAGCAUUAGGGGUAGUAGUUCGCUCUCGAGGUCCUUUGUUUGGAGGUGUUAAAAAAAUGUGAAGGCUUCAAGUGACAAUGUCCUUGUUUGUUGGAGGUCUCUGGAUAGUUUGAUAUUUCUUUGUAUAUCUCAUUGUUUUAUUGUUUGCUUUAGAAGAUUACUUGUUUUUUCUUUUUUGUUCGGACAUCUUGUAUGUACAUUUUCAUAUAUUUUAUAAUUAAAUAUUUUUGCUUGGUUAA